RNAcentral lists this ribosomal RNA (253 nucleotides) under uncultured bacterium. Its description in RNAcentral is "partial 16S ribosomal RNA". It matches the Rfam family "Bacterial small subunit ribosomal RNA", at positions 524 to 776 of the family's 1533-position model. The record is from RNAcentral.
UACGUAGGGUGCAAGCGUUAUCCGGAAUUAUUGGGCGUAAAGAGCUCGUAGGCGGUUUGUCGCGUCUGCUGUGAAAACUGGGGGCUCAACCCCCAGCCUGCAGUGGGUACGGGCAGACUAGAGUGCGGUAGGGGAGAUUGGAAUUCCUGGUGUAGCGGUGGAAUGCGCAGAUAUCAGGAGGAACACCGGUGGCGAAGGCGGGUCUCUGGGCAAUAACUGACGCUGAGGAGCGAAAGCGUGGGGAGCGAACAGG